This 360-nucleotide ribosomal RNA is filed under the name Triticum aestivum (bread wheat). RNAcentral describes it as "partial small subunit ribosomal RNA". Lineage: Eukaryota; Viridiplantae; Streptophyta; Magnoliopsida; Poales; Poaceae. The record is from RNAcentral.
AUGAAGCGGUAUAAAUCUAAAAAGACAGGGACUUCAUUGUCAUGUAAGUUUUGUACAAUAUUUCCUUAUUAUCAUUUAUGUACAGCCACAAACCAUGUCGGAACAAGUGUCGUUGCUGCUCCAAGUUGCCAUUGUAUGCUCAUUCACUGUGCGUCGGCCCUGCUAUGUGACAUUAAAGUGAAACAAUUAGAACUUUCUUCUCUUGUGAUUUAUAAUUCUUGCAUACAAUCUUUCUUCAAGCUCCUGAAUCAACCUGCCUUUUCUCCUGCAGUGUCUAUGGAGCCUGAAAUCUCUCUUGGUAUUCUUCACCUGUACAUUGAUCAGCUAUCGAUGCUCUGCAUGAAACACGCAAGUGUCUAG